ACCAACCAAAAGAGAGAGAAAGAGAGAGAAAGAGAAUAAAAGACUUGGACUUCUUUACGACCGGAAGCUGCCAAAAGUCCGAUUUCCAUUGGGCCAAUAUGCGUGAAUUGAGGAAUUCGGAGAACUUUUCCUUUCUUCAAAUCGUAACCGAUUUUUCCACUAGCUUUGUAUCCUUCACUGGUACAACCGCUGUUGCUCCUGCAGUCGGACAGAAAUAGCAGUUAAUUUUAUAUUAUAAAUAAAUCAUUAUAUAUA
Molecule: long non-coding RNA, 255 nt
Filed under: Monomorium pharaonis (pharaoh ant)
Lineage: Eukaryota; Metazoa; Arthropoda; Insecta; Hymenoptera; Formicidae
Description: uncharacterized LOC105828812, transcript variant X3
Source: RNAcentral